GCUGGGCGUGGUGGCGUGCACCUGUAAUCCCAGCUACUUGGGAGGCUGAGGCAGGAGAAUCCCUUGAACCUGGGAGGUGGAGAUUGCAGUGAGCUGAGAUCGUACCACUGCACUCCAGCCUGGGUGACAGAGCGAGACUCUGUCUCAAAAAAAAAAAAAAAAGUGUAAUAAAAUACACAUAGCAUAAAAUGUAUCAUUUUAACCCCCUGUCUCCCAGGCUGGAGUGCAGUGGUACAAUCUCAGCCCACUGCAAUCUCCACCUUCCAGGUUCAAGGGAUUCUCCUGCCUCA
Molecule: signal recognition particle RNA, 290 nt
Filed under: Mandrillus leucophaeus (drill)
Lineage: Eukaryota; Metazoa; Chordata; Mammalia; Primates; Cercopithecidae
Description: Metazoan signal recognition particle RNA (ENSMLEG00000001622.1)
Rfam family: Metazoan signal recognition particle RNA
About the family: The signal recognition particle (SRP) is a universally conserved ribonucleoprotein. It is involved in the co-translational targeting of proteins to membranes.
Source: RNAcentral